CCUACGGGAGGCAGCAGUGAGGAAUAUUGGUCAAUGGUCGGGAGACUGAACCAGCCAAGCCGCGUGAGGGAGGAAGGUACAGAGUAUCGUAAACCUCUGUUGUCAGGGAACAAAGACUGGGACGCGUCCCCGGAUGAGUGUACCUGAAGAAAAAGCAUCGGCUAACUCCGUGCCAGCAGCCGCGGUAAUACGGAGGAUGCGAGCGUUAUCCGGAUGUAGUGGGUUUAAAGGGUGCGCAGGCGGUCUGUUAAGUCAGCGGUCAAAGCCCGGGGCUCCCCCCCGGCCCGCCGUUGAAACUGGCAGUCUCGCGUUGGAGUGACGUAUGCGGUAUGCGCGUUGUAGCGGUGCACUGCAUCGCUAUCGCGCAGAACUCCGAUUGCGAAGGCAGCAUGCCGGCUCCACACUGACGCUGAGGCACGAACGCGUGGGUAUCGAACAGGAUUAGAUACCCUGGUAGUC
Molecule: ribosomal RNA, 459 nt
Filed under: uncultured bacterium
Lineage: Bacteria
Description: partial 16S ribosomal RNA
Rfam family: Bacterial small subunit ribosomal RNA
Source: RNAcentral